GGAUGAACGCUGGCGGCGUGCCUAAUACAUGCAAGUAGAACGCUGAAGGAGGAGCUUGCUCUUCUGGAUGAGUUGCGAACGGGUGAGUAACGCGUAGGUAACCUGCCUGGUAGCGGGGGAUAACUAUUGGAAACGAUAGCUAAUACCGCAUGACAACAGUUAUUGCAUGAUAACUGUUUAAAAGGGGCAACUGCUCCACUACCAGAUGGACCUGCGUUGUAUUAGCUAGUUGGUGAGGUAACGGCGCACCAAGGCGACGAUACAUAGCCGACCUGAGAGGGUGAUCGGCCACACUGGGACUGAGACACGGCCCAGACUCCUACGGGAGGCAGCAGUAGGGAAUCUUCGGCAAUGGACGGAAGUCUGACCGAGCAACGCCGCGUGAGUGAAGAAGGUUUUCGGAUCGUAAAGCUCUGUUGUAAGAGAAGAACGAGUGUGAGAGUGGAAAGUUCACACUGUGACGGUAUCUUACCGGAAAGGGACGGCUAACUACGUG
This 496-nucleotide ribosomal RNA is filed under the name uncultured bacterium. RNAcentral describes it as "partial 16S ribosomal RNA". It matches the Rfam family "Bacterial small subunit ribosomal RNA", at positions 27 to 507 of the family's 1533-position model. The record is from RNAcentral.